GAGUAAUGCAUCGGAACGUGCCAUUGAGUGGGGGAUAACGUAGCGAAAGUUACGCUAAUACCGCAUAUUCUGUGAGCAGGAAAGCAGGGGACCGCAAGGCCUUGCGCUCUUUGAGCGGCCGAUGUCAGAUUAGCUAGUUGGUGAGGUAAAGGCUUACCAAGGCGACGAUCUGUAGCGGGUCUGAGAGGAUGAUCCGCCACACUGGAACUGAGACACGGUCCAGACUCCUACGGGAGGCAGCAGUGGGGAAUUUUGGACAAUGGGCGCAAGCCUGAUCCAGCCAUGCCGCGUGAGUGAAGAAGGCCUUCGGGUUGUAAAGCUCUUUCGGCCGGGAAGAAAUCGCAUGGGUUAAUACCCUGUGUGGAUGACGGUACCGGAAUAAGAAGCACCGGCUAACUACGUG
RNAcentral lists this ribosomal RNA (403 nucleotides) under uncultured bacterium. Its description in RNAcentral is "bacterial SSU rRNA". It matches the Rfam family "Bacterial small subunit ribosomal RNA", at positions 108 to 507 of the family's 1533-position model. The record is from RNAcentral.